UUUACCGCGGCUGCUGGCACCAGUCUUACCCACCACUUAUUCUCCAAGAUAUUUACUCUUGGCAAAAGCUUAGUUAAACUAAGCACUUUGGGUUCCCCUCUCACGCUUGCGCGCAUUGGAAAGGUUUCGCGCCUGCUGCACCCCGUAGGGAAUCUCUAGAGGAUCCCCGGGUACCGAGCUCGAAUUCGUAAUCAUGGUCAUAGCUGUUUCCUGUGUG
RNAcentral lists this ribosomal RNA (217 nucleotides) under uncultured crenarchaeote. RNAcentral's name for it is "partial 16S ribosomal RNA". The record is from RNAcentral. Lineage: Archaea; Thermoproteati; Thermoproteota.